UACGAGGGGUCCUAGCGUUGUUCGGAUUCACUGGGCGUAAAGGGUGCGCAGGUGGGCUGGUAAGUUCGAUGUGAAAGCCCCGGGCUUAACCCGGGAAUGGCAUUGGAUACUACUGGUCUGGAGGAUUGGAGGGGGGGACUGGAAUUCUUGGUGUAGCAGUGAAAUGCGUAGAUAUCAAGAGGAACACCAGUGGCGAAGGCGAGUCCCCUGGACAAUACCUGACACUGAGGUAACGAAAGCCAAGGGAGCAAACAGG
This 256-nucleotide ribosomal RNA is filed under the name uncultured bacterium. RNAcentral describes it as "partial 16S ribosomal RNA". It matches the Rfam family "Bacterial small subunit ribosomal RNA", at positions 524 to 776 of the family's 1533-position model. The record is from RNAcentral.